RNAcentral lists this unclassified non-coding RNA (344 nucleotides) under soil metagenome. RNAcentral's name for it is "partial contains 5.8S ribosomal RNA, internal transcribed spacer 2, and large subunit ribosomal RNA". The stretch from base 1 to 119 matches the Rfam family "5.8S ribosomal RNA", at positions 35 to 154 of the family's 154-position model. The record is from RNAcentral.
GAUGAAGAACGCAGCGAAAUGCGAUACGUAAUGUGAAUUGCAAAUUCAGUGAAUCAUCGAGUCUUUGAACGCACAUUGCGCCCCCUGGUAUUCCGGGGGGCAUGCCUGUCCGAGCGUCAUUGCUGCCCUCAAGCACGGCUUGUGUGUUGGGCCCCGUCCUCCGAUCCCGGGGGACGGGCCCGAAUGGCAGCGGCGGCACCGCGUCCGGUCCUCGAGCGUAUGGGGCUUUGUCACCCGCUCUGUAGGCCCGGCCGGCGCUUGCAGAUCAACCCAAAUUUUUAUCCAGGUUGACCUCGGAUCAGGUAGGGAUACCCGCUGAACUUAAGCAUAUCAAUAAGCGGAGA